CGCCGACCAGCGCGACCCCGGGCAUGGUGGUCAGCAAUCACCACGUGACCGAAUACGUGGUCGGCUCCUGCCUGUUCGGCGCGGGCGUGGGCGG
RNAcentral lists this transfer RNA (94 nucleotides) under Massilia varians. Its description in RNAcentral is "tRNA-Ala". Lineage: Bacteria; Pseudomonadati; Pseudomonadota; Betaproteobacteria; Burkholderiales; Oxalobacteraceae. The record is from RNAcentral.